UGCAGUCGAGCGGAGAAAUGGGAGCUUGCUCCCAUUUCUCAGCGGCGGACGGGUGAGUAACACGUGGGCAACCUGCCCUACAGACUGGGAUAACUCCGGGAAACCGGAGCUAAUACCGGGUAAUACGUAGCAUCGCAUGAUGCAACGUUGAAAGUUGGCCUCUGGCUAACACUGUAGGAUGGGCCCGCGGCGCAUUAGCUAGUUGGUAAGGUAACGGCUUACCAAGGCCACGAUGCGUAGCCGACCUGAGAGGGUGAUCGGCCACACUGGGACUGAGACACGGCCCAGACUCCUACGGGAGGCAGCAGUAGGGAAUCUUCCGCAAUGGACGAAAGUCUGACGGAGCAACGCCGCGUGAGUGACGAAGGCCUUCGGGUCGUAAAGCUCUGUUGUUAGGGAAGAACAAGUACCGUUCGAAUAGGGCGGUACCUUGACGGUACCUAACCAGAAAGCCACGGCUAACUACGUGCCAGCAGCCGCGGUAAUACGUAGGUGGCAAGCGUUGUCCGGAAUUAUUGGGCGUAAAGCGCGCGCAGGCGGUCUCUUAAGUCUGAUGUGAAAGCCCACGGCUCAACCGUGGAGGGCCAUUGGAAACUGGGGGACUUGAGUGCAGAAGAGGAGAGUGGAAUUCCACGUGUAGCGGUGAAAUGCGUAGAUAUGUGGAGGAACACCAGUGGCGAAGGCGGCUCUCUGGUCUGUAACUGACGCUGAGGCGCGAAAGCGUGGGGGAGCAAACAGGAUUAGAUACCCUGGUAGUCCACGCCGUAAACGAUGAGUGCUAGGUGUUGGGGGGUUCCACCCUCAGUGCUGAAGUUAACACAUU
RNAcentral lists this ribosomal RNA (823 nucleotides) under Bacillaceae bacterium GUDS1148. RNAcentral's name for it is "bacterial SSU rRNA". It matches the Rfam family "Bacterial small subunit ribosomal RNA", at positions 56 to 861 of the family's 1533-position model. Lineage: Bacteria; Bacillati; Bacillota; Bacilli; Caryophanales; Bacillaceae. The record is from RNAcentral.